GACAGAGGGUGCAAACGUUGUUCGGAUUUACUGGGCGUAAAGCGCGUGUAGGUGGGAGUGCAAGUCCGGUGGGAAAGCCCGCGGCUCAACCGCGGAAGGUCGCUGGAAACUGUGCUUCUUGAGGGUGAUAGAGGGAAGUGGAAUUGCUGGUGUAGCGGUGAAAUGCGUAGAUAUCAGCAGGAACACCCGUGGCGAAGGCGGGUCUCUGGGCCGAUACUGACGCUGAGGAGCGAAAGCGUGGGGAGCGAACAGG
This 253-nucleotide ribosomal RNA is filed under the name uncultured bacterium. Its description in RNAcentral is "partial 16S ribosomal RNA". It matches the Rfam family "Bacterial small subunit ribosomal RNA", at positions 524 to 776 of the family's 1533-position model. The record is from RNAcentral.